RNAcentral lists this small nuclear RNA (23 nucleotides) under Arabidopsis thaliana (thale cress). RNAcentral describes it as "snRNA_08429". The record is from RNAcentral. Lineage: Eukaryota; Viridiplantae; Streptophyta; Magnoliopsida; Brassicales; Brassicaceae.
UUGGAAUGACCUUAAAGAUAUUU